This 1788-nucleotide long non-coding RNA is filed under the name Triticum aestivum (bread wheat). RNAcentral describes it as "long non-coding RNA (TAES_LNC015395)". Lineage: Eukaryota; Viridiplantae; Streptophyta; Magnoliopsida; Poales; Poaceae. The record is from RNAcentral.
UGGUACUAUUUAUUUUGGUCCAACAAAAAAGUGGGUUACAAACGUUAUUCUGAACAUCCUAAAAUAUAUAAUCGUUCCAUAGAUCUGGGGUGUGUGCUUGUUUUUGAGCUGUUGAGAUGAUGCUUGUGUGCAAUAUUAAAGUUUUUUUUCAUCACCUCCAACCACUCGCUUGUAUGUUUGCAGAAGCAUCUCAUGUUUGAAUUGAUCAUUUAUUUAGAUCUACAGUACGUCCAAUAAUAAUUCAGUUGUGUUGUGUAUUUAACUAAGUAGAUGUUGACCGAUGGUUAAUUUCAAUGUUCAGCGGUACCAUUAAGUGGUGGUUCUAGAACUAAGCUUCGCAGUAUCUUUCUCAAGAAUAGAUUAUUAUUUUUGACUUGUCUUUUUGGCAAACUAGAGCAUCAGGUUGUAUUUAAAUUACUUAUUCCUUAGUAUCUAAACUAGAGCAUUAAGCUGUACUGUUUUUGUUCCUCAUUCAUGUGAGGACACCCAAGUAAGCAAGGGUUGCUUCUCUAGUUACCUACUCUUCAUAACUGACCGUUGUUCUUUUGUCAUGUGAUUUUGAAGAGAAUGUAUUUGUUGAUAGUGAGAGUGAGGAUAAUGAUGGGGUGAGUGAGGAUGGGGAAGAUGCUCCAUCCAUGCAUGAUCAGCAAGAGGCGCAAAUGCAAGUGGAAAAAGAGACACAAAUUCAAGUGGAAAAGGACGCACCUCCAAGAGAUGGCAAUUUGGAGACCCGUAGAUCUGUACGGCUUGUCAAGAAGAAGACCAAGGGCGUCAACAGCCUAUACCCUGUUGCUUAGAAAUCUGUUGGCAAGUCUCUUCUUUCUAGUGUUUUAUGAUUCAUGAUAAUUGCUUAGAAAUUUUUAGUUACUUGGAGCUGCUAGUUUCUUAGAUGUAUACACUUUCUAUCCAUGCCUAGCCUUCAUUGUCAUGUUAAGCAAUGUAUUUAUGUUAUCCUGAAAUGUUACCACUUGACUAUUGUUGCACUAGACACCUCCAUGUUAGUCCAUUUUAUUUCAUUAUGCACAAAGUGGAAGAAGAAAAUUUUGAUGUUGAACUACAUCCAUCCUGAUUUUCCUUUUGUAUGACAAUUGACAAAUGGCUAGUCCAAGCCAACAGUGGGUUGUUUGUGUCUAUGUUGUUUUCUUUGUAUCCUUAGAGUUUUGUUGUGCUCGAGUAAAAACUGUAAACUAGAAUUCAUCAUUCUAGUAUAUGGAGGCAUUUAACCUUUGCUCCUGAAGCUUUUUGGUGAAUAAAAAACUAUAUUGCUGUAGUAGAUUUGUUAUUUGAUUCAUGAGCAUGCAUAAAUUUGACUAUUGUUCUACUAGCCACUUGUCCUGUUAGUCCAUUUUAUUUUUAAUGCACAAAGUGGCAGAAGAUAAUUCCGAUGCAGAACUACCUCCAUCCUGACCCUUCCUAUGUUUUCUCUAAACCAUAAAUGGCACUUGAAGAAUAACUAAGGAUAUCAAGAAGCUUUUGGAUGUAGGCAAGCUUGGAGCUGCUGUUUCAAUGUCAUACUUUGAUAGUUGCCUUUUGGAGCUGUUGUUUCUAUGUGUAAUACUUUAAGUCUGUUGGCUGUACCGGACUAUUUAAACUCUGAACUAUGCUGUGAUGGUUGAACUGAUGUUGGACUGUUAAGGGUUAUGUUGGAGGCCACUUUAUAACUAAUGUGUGCCUGUUAUGUUGGACAGAUGCAGUUUUAUUAAUCCCUAGAGCUUAUUUGCUGAAAUUUACAUGAUCAAACCUGAUGGUUGUUGCGCUGCUAUAUUUGUGGCCUGUUUUAUUUCAAAU